Molecule: unclassified non-coding RNA, 221 nt
Filed under: plant metagenome
Description: partial contains small subunit ribosomal RNA, internal transcribed spacer 1, and 5.8S ribosomal RNA
Source: RNAcentral
UCUCCGUAGGUGAACCUGCGGAGGGAUCAUUACAGAGUUCGUGCCCUCGCGGGUAGAUCUCCCACCCUGUGUUAUUGCGACCUUUGUUGCUUUGGCGGGCCGCCCUCGGCUAGCGGCCCCGGCCGGUAUGCGCCCGCCACAGGACCCCAAACCCUGCACGUCAGUGACGUCUGAGUACUAUAAAUUAGUUAAAACUUUCAACAACGGAUCUCUUGGUUCUG